RNAcentral lists this non-coding RNA (282 nucleotides) under Allomyces macrogynus ATCC 38327. RNAcentral's name for it is "Eukaryotic small subunit ribosomal RNA". It matches the Rfam family "Eukaryotic small subunit ribosomal RNA", at positions 1190 to 1488 of the family's 1831-position model. Lineage: Eukaryota; Fungi; Blastocladiomycota; Blastocladiomycetes; Blastocladiales; Blastocladiaceae. The record is from Rfam by way of RNAcentral.
UUAAUUUGACUCAACACGGGGAAACUCACCAGGUCCAGACAUGGUAAGGAUUGACAGAUUGAAAGCUCUUUCUUGAUUCUAUGGGUGGUGGUGCAUGGCCGUUCUUAGUUCGUGGAUUGAUUUGUCUGGUUAAUUCCGAUAACGAACGAGACCUUUUCCUACUCGUUACUUGCUCAUGGGUUUUAUCUCAUGGCACGCAAGUUCUUAGCGGGACUGCUGGCGUUUAGCCAGAGGAAGUUCGAGGCAAUAACAGGUCUGUGAUGCCCUUAGAUGUUCUGUGNN